RNAcentral lists this long non-coding RNA (3624 nucleotides) under Homo sapiens (human). RNAcentral describes it as "HSALNT0337183". The record is from RNAcentral. Lineage: Eukaryota; Metazoa; Chordata; Mammalia; Primates; Hominidae.
CCGCCCACUUCAGCCUCCCAAAGUGAUGGGAUUACAGCUGUGAGCCACCGUGCCUGGCCCCUUACUGUUUCUUUAUACAUCAUUGUGAUUCCAACAGUUUCUGAGUCUCAAAGAUAUGCUCCCAUGUAGCCUCAUACAACAGCAUAGGGCACUUGCAUGUUCCAAAAAACUUAAAUGCAAUAAAAGCAAAUGGUGCCUACCCUCCCCAUGGGGUCUCUGUAUUUCCCAGGCUCUGAAAUACACUGACUGAGAGAAAUGUGCGAACUUCAUACCUGGUCUGAGAUUUACCCUGAGAUGACUCUUGCCUAGAAAAGAAAAAGAGUUUUCUCUUCAGCAUCUCUGGGAUUAGAACUAUUAGCAAACUUAUAAUUUUCUUUCCUCACUUACUGAGCUCUAGUAUUAUCUUGAUUGCAAAGAAAGCAUCCAGACAACUUCCCAUUUCCUCCUUGCUUCACCCCGUGAACACAACUGCUUCUCUUCAGCAGCCCCAAAUGGAAAUUAUUCAGUGUCUUAUGUGAAAUUGAAAAUAUUUUUAAAAAGACAAUUGCAAUGUUAGUGUAUUGUGGAUGAUACUCUACAAGAAAAGCCUGAGCAAUGUUGGUUUAUCCAAAACUACAAAACCAGCUCCCUAUUUUCCAUGCUUGAGGUGUUAAAUGUAAACUCUCACUCAGAGCAGACACCAGCUGGAAUGCUCUGAGCCACGCAGAAUCCCAGAAAUGUCUCGAUUAAGGUGAUUGAACUGCAUCAAAUCCCAUCACUAGUAAGGGGCAGCAACCCUGUACCAGCAGGGCAAGGUCUCAGAGCAGAUACUCAAUGGACAAUCAAUUCACCAAAACUUUCUUCUGAAGGUUCCCUCAACUUAGUUAUCAACAGGUUUUCAUUUAUUCUCUAAAGAAAUCAGAAUUAAUAUUGAGAAGAUAUUAAGUGAAGUAAUAUAGAAAAUCCAGGACAGUGAUUGGCAUUUAGGAAAAAGACGUUUGUCUUGUAAUAUUAAAGUUUCUAGCUACAAUUUUCACAAAGCAUGCCUCUUUGCUUUCUCUAGGAGUGUCACAGCCACAGAGGGGCACAUCAACCUGAUACAAGAGAAAUGGAGCGAGGAGAGGUGACUGUCUCAGGGGAGUGAUAGUCUUUCUGGGGAGGAAUUCUCAAACCCAAGUCCUUGUUUUGUUUUGCUUUUCCUUGGCAAUGAGAUUAUCUUGGAGGUAAAAUUGUGUAAAUGUGGACAACUGAGUAAAGGCAAACUACACAGAGAGUAGUGGAAAUAAGGAAUGGGAGAGGUGGAAAAGUAAAAGUAAACACAUGCUAAUGAUUCAGUGUUAAUUUUGUCAGGUUAAAUCACAGAAUUUGGAAAGAAAAAGGGCAUCCAACAGCCUUAAAGAUGAAGAAAUGGAAGCUCCAGAGUUGAAGAAAUGUGUCUUCACUCCCACAAGUAAUCUUGAAGUUCCGAGCCACCAUGAGAGUUUUCCUGACACUGAGGUAAUUUCCUACCAUGUUGACACCACCUUGCGCCAGUGUUCAAGACCAUCACAGCUAUGAACCUUGUUGGCUUGUAUCAGAUGCCUGCUGGGACCUUGGCUGCCCAUAGUGCUCUCUAAAGACUCCAGCUUUCCAUAACUCCUACAGUUUUAAGUUCAAGGAAUGAUGAAGAGGACGCCAAUGUACGGAUUUGAUUUACCAAAUCAGGCCUGUACAGCAGCUGAAUCAACCUAUGGGAAAAUUUUGGCUCUCUUUAACAUUCUAAUUUUUGAGAACACCAUUGCAAAUACAUGAUUUCCAAAAUAAUAACAAUGCACUUAAUUAAUCACAUUAUAGAUCAUCAUAUAAAAAUAAAUACCUAAAUAGAAAUACAAUUUAUUUUUUUCUUAAAUUCCAAAUUGCAUAGAGCUGCCUCCUCUGCAGUUUUCCAUCACUGCCUCCUUCUCAGACUUCUCCUUUUGUUUUUUCAUUUCUUUGUACAGACUCCAGUCAUUUGUUUAAAUAUUCAUACUCAACCAGAAUACGUUUCCUAAUGUGGGAAUCAUUGCUUAUUCACAGGCACAGCCCUUGACAUCCUGAAAACAUGUAGUAAUGAUUUUUGGAAUAAAGGUUUGACACUUCUACAUUUACAUGUAAAUGGAGUUAAAAAAUUCUAGGUUGAGAAUAAGAAUACUAUAAAAAUUUUGAUCUAAAAUGGAUGUUAGAGAUAACCCAGCGCAACCAGUUGCUCUUACAAUUGAGGAAACUGAGGUCAAGAAUGAGUGAGUGGCUCAGAGUCACCCAGCUCAUUAGAGCCUGAAUGAACCACCUUGGUUCACUACCUCUGUUCACCGCCCUUUCUAGUGCACUUCAUGAAAUCACUCUCUAAGUACACAUCAACUCAUUUAGAUACUUAAAUGAUUCUUGAGAAAGUAGAAAGUAUAAAUGCCUUGACCACACAUAAGAACUUUGACAUAUUUCACUCUCUGUACUGAAAUUUCUAACAAUGCCUGGUACAUAAUAGGUAUUCAGUUGAUUUGGGUUUCUACAUCCCUUUUCUCCUUCUCUUCUUCAAGUUUGCAUGUAAACCACAUUAAAGACUGCUAAUAUAUAAAGUAGGCACCAUCUCAUGAAUCAAAGAGGGGAUUCCUAGAGCCACUGAGGAUGUCUUUAGAAGCCAGUGGUGCUGAUCCCACAGCUACUCUCCUGUGGACAGUGGAAGUGCUCCCCAAAGUACAUUCUUAGGGGAAAUGGGGCUGCCGCCAUGAGGAGGUGUCAAUAGAGAUUAGAGAUGGUCUUUGUGCUGUGAGAGAGACCUCACAUUUCCAAAUGCCAAGUCCUUUCUUCCUCAGUCAAAUGUACCCCCUAGAACAUAGAUACCUACUAAGCUGUAGAUUUUUGAGGGGAUACAGAGCUGAAUCCAUAAGAUAGUGGAUUAUUCAGAUAAGAAUUUCUGUAGAUAGAGAGUUUCCAAUCAAUUAUGUACCCCAACAAUGUGAGGUCAACUACUUAGACUACCUCUUAGCUUCUACAUUUAGAUGUUUCAAAGUCUGUUCUGAUCCUUAAAUUUGACACUUCUCUUUAAUAUAAACAAAGCCCUUUUAGUAUUCUUUGGGAUUAGCUUACCACUUAAUAAAUUCCUUCCAACACUAUCUUCUGUGAGUCAACAAACAGCUUCCUCCUGUGAUUUGGGCCUGGCUAACAACAAGUUAGACUUCAGACGAAUAAUUACUAGGCUGAGGCAUUUUCCAGGUGGUACAUUCCCACUUUGAGGAAACUUGGUCAUUUUACUUUUGCAUUUAAGAUGUCCUUAGGCUGAAAAUAAAGUGUCAGUGUUUGAAAUGUCCUUCUCUGUAUCAUUGACUUGAUUUUUAGAUAAUAUUUCAGGCUGGACUGACACCAAAAGUGCUUUUCAAAAACACAUGAAAAGACCAAAAUUAUUUAAAUAAUUUACAAUAUAUGAAAGGUAGUAAAUUCUAGGCAAACAUUUUAACUAGGUUUUUAUGGAGAACUGACAGUGAGUAGCUUUGUGCUGAACCCUGUGUAAGGCAUUAAAUGAUGCACUCGUGUAAUUAUUUUCCCUAAAUUAAUGCCUGUCCCUGACACAUCUUAGACUUUUCCACCCUUGCCCUAAAUAACUUAAUUAAAAAAAAAAAUUCUCCCAGCUAA